This 253-nucleotide ribosomal RNA is filed under the name uncultured bacterium. Its description in RNAcentral is "partial 16S ribosomal RNA". It matches the Rfam family "Bacterial small subunit ribosomal RNA", at positions 524 to 776 of the family's 1533-position model. The record is from RNAcentral.
UACGAAGGGGGCUAGCGUUGCUCGGAAUCACUGGGCGUAAAGGGUGCGUAGGCGGGUCUUUAAGUCAGGGGUGAAAUCCUGGAGCUCAACUCCAGAACUGCCUUUGAUACUGAGGAUCUUGAGUACGGGAGAGGUGAGUGGAACUGCGAGUGUAGAGGUGAAAUUCGAAGAUAUUCGCAAGAACACCAGUGGCGAAGGCGGCUCACUGGCCCGUAACUGACGCUGAGGCACGAAAGCGUGGGGAGCAAACAGG